RNAcentral lists this long non-coding RNA (409 nucleotides) under Marmota monax (woodchuck). Lineage: Eukaryota; Metazoa; Chordata; Mammalia; Rodentia; Sciuridae. The record is from RNAcentral.
AAAAAAUUAAAAGGACUGGGGAUGUGGCUCAGUGGUUGACUGCCCCUGGGUUCAAUCCCCAGUACCCUUCCCCCCAAAUUGAGAGUAUAUUACACUAAAAACUGUAUGUGAAUGUUUACGGUGGUUUUAUUCAUAAUCACCAAAACCCAGAAACAAUCAAGACCCCCUUUGUAAGUGAGGGGCUACACCAACUGUGACACAUCUGUGCAAUGAAAUAAAAGAAAUGAGCUGGGAAAAGACACAGAAGGACUUUAAAAUGCGCAUUGCUAAGUGAAAAAAAAAACAGUCCAAAAAAAUCUGCACAAUACAUGGGUCCAAGUAUAUGACACUUUGGAAAAAGCAAAACUGUAGAAGCAGUAGAAAGAUCAGUGGUUGCCAGGGGUUUGAUGGGGAAGGAGGUAAAGAGGGA